Oncorhynchus tshawytscha (Chinook salmon) is the source of this 1180-nucleotide long non-coding RNA. RefSeq lists it as uncharacterized. The transcript has 5 exons. Lineage: Eukaryota; Metazoa; Chordata; Actinopteri; Salmoniformes; Salmonidae. The record is from RefSeq and is a predicted model, not a curated record.
AGUUAACGAGAUGCCAACCAAAUGAACGUGAUGAGGGACAACGUUUAUGAUUGUGCAAUGAGAGGCUUUUCAGAGAGCCUGCUUUAAUCCAGAGGUAAAAAUAGACAUGGUUUUUAGGGAUGCUGACGGAAAAGGGGCAGCUGAUGAGGGUGGUCCCUCAAGAGAUUUCCCCGGCUGCUAAUGAGUGCCAUCCAGUCCUCUGCAAUAUUUGAGGGACCUGAUUGGCAAAAAUGCCUUUCUUGCAACUCUCGCGCGCUCUAUGAUGGCGUAUACAAGCAGGUGGGCCACAUGACUGCUGUCUGUCUGGUACAUGGGGGUGUAGAGCCACUUUUUGUUAGAGAGGCAAGUGUGUGGUCUCUACAGGCAAGUGUGUGGCCUACAUCCUCCUGUGCCAGAACUGAAAGAAAUAGUAGAAUAUGACUUCAGAGGGAAGUUGGAGAAGUUCAAUAAACAAUCUAAGAUCCAGUUAGCACAAGCUGUUGACGAGGCACAGGAAGCGGUCAUGUUGGGUCCAGUGCGAUACAUUCGUACAUUGGAGAGGGAUGCCCUGGUGGAGUCAGCCACUAAGUUCUACUUAGAAAGCAGGAUACGGGAUGCUCUUGAGCAAUUCAAAGAGGGUCUGGAGUGUCUAGGUCUCCUGCCUUACAUGAAUAGACACUCAAGCCUCUUCAGAGAGGUUUUCAUCUACGCUGAGAAACCUCUUUUGGCCAGACAUAGCAGAGCUCAAAGCAGAGCUCUCCCCACCUGGUACCAAUCAAAGAGCAAUAGAGAGAAGAGUCAUGUUUCUGGAGGGACUGGCUGCUGGAGGUGGAAGUGGGGAACUCAUUCCCUUUAACCAUGGAGAAGAUUUUCAUUUUCACUUUGGGGGCUUCAACAUUCCUAGGCUGGGAUUGCCAGUGGAACCACAGCUACAGUUCUCUCUGCUACCGCACGGCAAGCGGUACCGGAGCGCCAAGUCUAGGUCCAAGAGGCUUCUAAACAGAUUCUACCCCCAAGUCAUAAGACUCCUGAACAUCUAAUCAAAUGACUACCCAGACUAUUUGCUGCCACUCUCUCUAUGCAUAGUCACUUUAAUAUCUCUGCCUACAUAUAUAUAUUAACUCGACUAACCAGUGUCCCCACACAUUCUCUGUACCGGUACCCCCUGUAUAUAGUCUCCACAUUGACUCUGUACCGUAAC